This 388-nucleotide long non-coding RNA is filed under the name Helianthus annuus (common sunflower). RNAcentral describes it as "sRNA HanXRQr2_Chr17g0811671". The record is from RNAcentral. Lineage: Eukaryota; Viridiplantae; Streptophyta; Magnoliopsida; Asterales; Asteraceae.
UUUUCACAACUGCCGACAAUAAACACCACCCUCCACCACUCUAAACAUAACCAACACCACCAUUGUUCUCCAUCAACCACCACCGAACCAACGUCACCAACGCCCACCACUGCCCCACCUGCUACCUCCCACCACCGCACCAGCUCUUCAGAUCCAGCACCGACUCUGAUCAGAAUCCACACCAGACCCCGUUCUCCAUGCUUGACCCCUAAUUUGGUGGAUUCUUCCUCAAACCUAAAAAAUCCUUGCACUGGAAAUGUGGAUAAUUUUGAAACAUGGGAAAAGGAUGAAGAUGAUGUUGAUAUGGUUUAAUUUGUGAAUGUUGAAAUGUGAGAAACUAAUAUGUAGUGUGGUGGCAGUGCUAGCAGGUGGUGUAUGGUGGUGCUAA